CUCUUCUUCAUCCUCGUCCUUCACAAACUUCGGGAUAAGAUCCUUGUGCUGAGAAUAAACAGUUUUCUUUGUGUUCUCGCCCUGUCUCACAAUUGCAUCAUAUCUUACUUCACCAUGCUCGUCCACGGUAACAGGCAAAGUCUUUCCCCAAGCUUUCCAGUCUUUCUUUCUGCCCAUAUCAAGUGGAUAAUACACGAUGAUUUCAUAUCUUACUUCACCAUGCUCGUCCACGGUAACAGGCAAAGUCUUUCCCCAAGCUUUCCAGUCUUUCUUUCUGCCCAUAUCAAGUGGAUACCGAGUGUAAUGGAUUUCAGGGAAUGCUCCUCCAU
RNAcentral lists this long non-coding RNA (329 nucleotides) under Nicotiana benthamiana. Its description in RNAcentral is "long non-coding RNA (NBEN_LNC014425)". Lineage: Eukaryota; Viridiplantae; Streptophyta; Magnoliopsida; Solanales; Solanaceae. The record is from RNAcentral.